This 253-nucleotide ribosomal RNA is filed under the name uncultured bacterium. Its description in RNAcentral is "partial 16S ribosomal RNA". It matches the Rfam family "Bacterial small subunit ribosomal RNA", at positions 524 to 776 of the family's 1533-position model. The record is from RNAcentral.
GACAGAGGGUGCAAACGUUGUUCGGAAUUACUGGGCGUAAAGCGCGUGUAGGCUGCUCGGAAAGUCGGAUGUGAAAGCCCUGGGCUCAACCUAGGAAGUGCAUUCGAAACUUCCGAGCUGGAGUGCUGGAGAGGAAGGCGGAAUCCUCGGUGUAGAGGUGAAAUUCGUAGAUAUCGAGAGGAACACCAGUGGCGAAAGCGGCUCUCUGGUCCUAAACUGACGCUGAGGGGCGAAAGCGUGGGGAGCAAACAGG